AUGCUUAACACAUGCAAGUCGAACGGGAUUAUUAUCUUCGGAUGAUAUGAGAGUGGCGAACGGGUGAGUAACACGUAAGAAUCUACCUUUAGGACGGGGAUAACUUCUGGAAACGGAUGCUAAUACCCGAUAUGCUGUGGAGUGAAAGGAAUUUCGCCUAAAGAUGAUCUUGCGUCUGAUUAGCUAGAUAGUGUGGUAAUGGCGCACUAUGGCGACGAUCAGUAGCUGGUCUGAGAGGAUGGACAGCCACAUUGGAACUGAGACACGGUCCAAACUCCUACGGGAGGCAGCAGUGGGGAAUUUUCCGCAAUGGGCGAAAGCCUGACGGAGCGACGCUGCGUGAAGGAUGACGGCCUGCGGGUUGUAAACUUCUUUUCUCGAAGAAGAAUAAAUGACGGUAUUCGAGGAAUAAGCAUCGGCUAACUCUGUGCCAGCAGCCGCGGUAAGACAGAGGAUGCAAGUGUUAUUCGGAUUGAUUGGGCGUAAAGCGUCUGUAGGCGGUUUGGAAAGUCUUUUGUGAAAUUCUUCAGCUCAACUGGGGGUCCGCAAAAGAAACUUCUAGGCUUGAGGGAAGUAGAGGUACAGGGAAUUUCCGGUGGAGCGGUGAAAUGCGUAGAUAUCGGAAGGAACACCAGUGG
Molecule: ribosomal RNA, 638 nt
Filed under: uncultured bacterium
Lineage: Bacteria
Description: bacterial SSU rRNA
Rfam family: Bacterial small subunit ribosomal RNA
Source: RNAcentral